RNAcentral lists this ribosomal RNA (253 nucleotides) under uncultured bacterium. RNAcentral's name for it is "partial 16S ribosomal RNA". It matches the Rfam family "Bacterial small subunit ribosomal RNA", at positions 524 to 776 of the family's 1533-position model. The record is from RNAcentral.
UACGGGGGGAGCAAGCGUUGUUCGGAUUCAUUGGGCGUAAAGGGCGCGUAGGCGGGAUGGCAAGUCAGUCGUGAAAUCUCUCGGCUCAACCGAGAAACGUCGGCUGAUACUGCCGUUCUUGAGGGAUGCAGAGGAGACUGGAAUUCCCGGUGUAGCGGUGAAAUGUGUAGAGAUCGGGAGGAACACCGGUGGCGAAGGCGGGUCUCUGGGCAUCUCCUGACGCUGAGGCGCGAAAGCGUGGGGAGCAAACGGG